This 713-nucleotide long non-coding RNA is filed under the name Homo sapiens (human). Its description in RNAcentral is "non-protein coding DANT2:11". The record is from RNAcentral. Lineage: Eukaryota; Metazoa; Chordata; Mammalia; Primates; Hominidae.
CGAAGAAAUCUGCAGGCGCACCCUUCUCCCUCUGCCCGCCCUGCCACAGGAGACGCUUCCAGGCUCCCGACGGGGAAGGCCAGAAAGGCUCUACUAGAAGGACCUCCCUACACUUGCCAGAACUAAAACUUAGGCAGCGGCAAAAACUCGGCGUCCAAAACGCGCCCGAAAGCCCUCCGAUGCCUGCAGGACGCUGGAGCCAGCUCGGCUGCAGCCGCCAUUGCACAAGGUCGCGCGCCCGGCACUGGCUGCCCAGAAGCCGGAGGGCAGGGAAGGUCCUCUGCACCAGAAAGGCUGCCCAUGGCACAAACCCUGAUCUCGUGUCCUGUGUCAAGGAAAGGAAAGGCAAAUAAAGGAAAGAAAAGGCGAAGGAGACCUACCUGAUUGAGGCCACGCGCCAACGGGAAAGGCCCAGUCCGCUCUACGUCCCGCAGUCGCACCUCAGAUAUGGGGUGAGAGGCGUCUUCCCAAGACCAGACACUGCCGGUGCCCUGUCACCUCCCACUUUUUUUCUGGAACUGCUAGGGGCCCAGCGCUGCUUCUGCAGCCUUCCAGGGGAUGCUGCUGGUGGCGCGUAUGCCGCCUAGGUGGGUGGGGAUGUGCUGAGGCCGAAGGAGUGACAGCGACUCGCAGGUUUCCCCUGCCUGACCAGUCCUCUGAUUGAUAUUUUCUUUUGAAAAAAGGGACUUGCGGCCGGGCGCGGUGGCUCACGC